RNAcentral lists this ribosomal RNA (253 nucleotides) under uncultured bacterium. RNAcentral's name for it is "partial 16S ribosomal RNA". It matches the Rfam family "Bacterial small subunit ribosomal RNA", at positions 524 to 776 of the family's 1533-position model. The record is from RNAcentral.
UACGUAGGGAGCGAGCGUUGUCCGGAAUUACUGGGCGUAAAGAGCUCGUAGGUGGUUUGUCGCGUUGUUCGUGAAAACUCACAGCUUAACUGUGGGCGUGCGGGCGAUACGGGCAGACUGGAGUACUGCAGGGGAGACUGGAAUUCCUGGUGUAGCGGUGGAAUGCGCAGAUAUCAGGAGGAACACCGGUGGCGAAGGCGGGUCUCUGGGCAGUAACUGACGCUGAGGAGCGAAAGCGUGGGGAGCGAACAGG